This 460-nucleotide ribosomal RNA is filed under the name uncultured bacterium. RNAcentral's name for it is "partial 16S ribosomal RNA". It matches the Rfam family "Bacterial small subunit ribosomal RNA", at positions 338 to 795 of the family's 1533-position model. The record is from RNAcentral.
CCUACGGGGGGCAGCAGUGAGGAAUAUUGGUCAAUGGCCGGAAGGCUGAACCAGCCAUGCCGCGUGAAGGUCAGUGCCCUAUGGGCGUUAAACUUCUUUUGUGCGGGAGCAAUAAUGGUCACGUGUGGCCAGACGAGAGUACCGUACGAAUAAGCAUCGGCUAACUCCGUGCCAGCAGCCGCGGUAAUACGGGGGAUGCAAGCGUUAUCCGGAUUUAUUGGGUUUAAAGGGUGCGUAGGCUGGGAGGUAAGUCAGCGGUGAAAUGCCCCCGCUCAACGGGGUGAAGUGCCAUUGAUACUGCCUGGCUGGAAUGCGGAUGCGGUGGGAGGAAUGUGUGGUGUAGCGGUGAAAUGCAUAGAUAUCACACAGAACACCGAUUGCGAAGGCAUCUCACGAAUCCGCGAUUGACGCUGAUGCACGAAAGCGUGGGUAUCAAACAGGAUUAGAUACCCCUGUAGUC